Molecule: ribosomal RNA, 490 nt
Filed under: Actinomyces sp. oral taxon 170
Lineage: Bacteria; Bacillati; Actinomycetota; Actinomycetes; Actinomycetales; Actinomycetaceae
Description: bacterial SSU rRNA
Rfam family: Bacterial small subunit ribosomal RNA
Source: RNAcentral
GACGAACGCUGGCGGCGUGCUUAACACAUGCAAGUCGAACGGUGAAGCACCUUCCUUUUGGUGGGUGUGGAUGAGUGGCGAACGGGUGAGUAACACGUGAGUAACCUGCCCCCUUCUUCUGGAUAACCGCAUGAAAGUGUGGCUAAUACGGGAUAUUCUGCGCCUGCUGCAUGGUGGGUGUGGGAAAGAUGCGCCUUUGGGUGUUUUUGGUGGGGGAUGGGCUCGCGGCCUAUCAGCUUGUUGGUGGGGUGAUGGCCUACCAAGGCGGUGACGGGUAGCCGGCCUGAGAGGGUGGACGGUCGCACUGGGACUGAGACACGACCCAGACUCCUACGGGAGGCAGCAGUGGGGAAUAUUGCACAAUGGGCGCAAGCCUGAUGCAGCGACGCCGCGUGAGGGAUGGAGGCCUUCGGGUUGUAAACCUCUUUCGCCAGUGAAGCAGGCCUGCCUCGUUUGUGGGUGGGUUGAUCGGAGCUGAUAAGAAGCGCCG